This 496-nucleotide ribosomal RNA is filed under the name uncultured bacterium. RNAcentral's name for it is "partial 16S ribosomal RNA". It matches the Rfam family "Bacterial small subunit ribosomal RNA", at positions 29 to 507 of the family's 1533-position model. The record is from RNAcentral.
AUGCACGCUGGCGGCGUGCCUCAUCCAUGCAAGUCGAGCGAACAGACGAGGAGCUUGCUCCUCUGACGUUAGCGGCGGACGGGUGAGUAACACGUGUAUAACCUACCUAUAAGACUGGGAUAACUUCGGGAAACCGGAGCUAAUACCGGAUAAUAUAUUGAACCGCAUGGUUCAAUAGUGAAAGACGGUUUUGCUGUCACUUAUAGAUGGAUCCGCGCCGCAUUAGCUAGUUGGUAAGGUAACGGCUUACCAAGGCAACGAUGCGUAGCCGACCUGAGAGGGUGAUCGGCCACACUGGAACUGAGACACGGUCCAGACUCCUACGGGAGGCAGCAGUAGGGAAUCUUCCGCAAUGGGCGAAAGCUUGACGGAGCAACGCCGCGUGAGUGAUGAAGGUCUUCGGAUCGUAAAACUCUGUUAUUAGGGAAGAACAAAUGUGUAAGUAACUAUGCACGUCUUGACGGUACCUAAUCAGAAAGCCACGGCUAACUACGUG